This 420-nucleotide ribosomal RNA is filed under the name uncultured bacterium. RNAcentral's name for it is "bacterial SSU rRNA". It matches the Rfam family "Bacterial small subunit ribosomal RNA", at positions 917 to 1338 of the family's 1533-position model. The record is from RNAcentral.
GGGCCCGCACAAGCAGUGGAGCAUGUGGUUUAAUUCGAUGCAACGCGAAGAACCUUACCAGGGUUUGACAUCCUGCGAAUCUCUUGGAAACGAGAGAGUGCCUUCGGGAACGCAGUGACAGGUGGUGCAUGGCUGUCGUCAGCUCGUGUCGUGAGAUGUUGGGUUAAGUCCCGCAACGAGCGCAACCCACGUCGUUAGUUGCCAGCAUUUAGUUGGGCACUCUAGCGAGACCGCCGGUGAUAAACCGGAGGAAGGUGUGGAUGACGUCAAGUCAUCAUGCCCCUUACAUCCUGGGCUACACACGUACUACAAUGCUACGGACAAAGAGCAGCAAGUUCGCGAGGACAAGCAAAUCUCAUAAACCGUGGCUCAGUUCAGAUCGUAGGCUGCAACUCGCCUACGUGAAGGAGGAAUCGCUAG